RNAcentral lists this ribosomal RNA (472 nucleotides) under uncultured bacterium. Its description in RNAcentral is "partial 16S ribosomal RNA". It matches the Rfam family "Bacterial small subunit ribosomal RNA", at positions 30 to 507 of the family's 1533-position model. The record is from RNAcentral.
AGUGGACGCUGGCGGUAGGCCUAACACAUGCAAGUCGAACGGCAGCACAGUAAGAGCUUGCUCUUACGGGUGGCGAGUGGCGGACGGGUGAGGAAUACAUCGGAAUCUACUUUUUCGUGGGGGAUAACGUAGGGAAACUUACGCUAAUACCGCAUACGACCUACGGGUGAAAGCAGGGGAUCUUCGGACCUUGCGCGAUUGAAUGAGCCGAUGUCGGAUUAGCUAGUUGGCGGGGUAGAGGCCCACCAAGGCGACGAUCCGUAGCUGGUCUGAGAGGAUGAGCGGCCACAGUGGGACGGAGAUACGGCCCAGACUCCUAGGGGAGGAAGCAGGGGGGAAUAGUGCACAAUGGGCGGAAGCCUGAUGAAGCAACGCGGAGUGCGGGAUGACGGCCUUCGGGUUGUAAAACGCUGACGCCUGUGACGAAGCGUGAGUGACGGGAAUGGGUAAAGAAGCAACGGCUAAAGACGUG